Molecule: ribosomal RNA, 503 nt
Filed under: Colidextribacter sp. OB.20
Lineage: Bacteria; Bacillati; Bacillota; Clostridia; Eubacteriales
Description: bacterial SSU rRNA
Rfam family: Bacterial small subunit ribosomal RNA
Source: RNAcentral
GACAGGUGGUGCAUGGUUGUCGUCAGCUCGUGUCGUGAGAUGUUGGGUUAAGUCCCGCAACGAGCGCAACCCUUAUUGUUAGUUGCUACGCAAGAGCACUCUAGCGAGACUGCCGUUGACAAAACGGAGGAAGGUGGGGACGACGUCAAAUCAUCAUGCCCCUUAUGUCCUGGGCCACACACGUACUACAAUGGUGGUCAACAGAGGGAAGCAAUACCGCGAGGUGGAGCAAAUCCCUAAAAGCCAUCCCAGUUCGGAUCGCAGGCUGCAACCCGCCUGCGUGAAGUUGGAAUCGCUAGUAAUCGCGGAUCAGCAUGCCGCGGUGAAUACGUUCCCGGGCCUUGUACACACCGCCCGUCACACCAUGAGAGUCGGGAACACCCGAAGUCCGUAGCCUAACCGCAAGGGGGGCGCGGCCGAAGGUGGGUUCGAUAAUUGGGGUGAAGUCGUAACAAGGUAGCCGUUCGAGAACGAGCGGCUGGAUCACCUCCUUUCUAAGGAGA